AAGUGCAGAGGAUGGAACGGGCAGCCAUCGCCGGAUAGCCGCAAGAUUGAAUAGAGAUGCAGGAACUGUCAACCUACCUGUAAAA
RNAcentral lists this non-coding RNA (85 nucleotides) under unclassified sequences. Its description in RNAcentral is "skipping-rope RNA". It matches the Rfam family "skipping-rope RNA". From Rfam's summary of the family: Firmicutes, Fusobacteria, AlphaProteobacteria, Spirochaetes. Downstream gene The record is from Rfam by way of RNAcentral.